AUUGAACGCUGGCGGCAGGCCUAACACAUGCCAGUCGAGCGGAUGAAGGGAGCUUGCUCCUGGAUUCAGCGGCGGACGGGUGAGUAAUGCCUAGGAAUCUGCCUGGUAGUGGGGGAUAACGUCCGGAAACGGGCGCUAAUACCGCAUACGUCCUGAGGGAGAAAGUGGGGGAUCUUCGGACCUCACGCUAUCAGAUGAGCCUAGGUCGGAUUAGCUAGUUGGUGGGGUAAAGGCCUACCAAGGCGACGAUCCGUAACUGGUCUGAGAGGAUGAUCAGUCACACUGGAACUGAGACACGGUCCAGACUCCUACGGGAGGCAGCAGUGGGGAAUAUUGGACAAUGGGCGAAAGCCUGAUCCAGCCAUGCCGCGUGUGUGAAGAAGGUCUUCGGAUUGUAAAGCACUUUUAGUUGGGAAGAAGGGCAGUAAGUUAAUACCUUGCUGUUUUGACGUUACCAACAGAAUAAGCACCGGCUAACUUCGUG
RNAcentral lists this ribosomal RNA (484 nucleotides) under uncultured bacterium. RNAcentral's name for it is "partial 16S ribosomal RNA". It matches the Rfam family "Bacterial small subunit ribosomal RNA", at positions 30 to 507 of the family's 1533-position model. The record is from RNAcentral.